UACGUAGGGUGCGAGCGUUGUCCGGAAUUAUUGGGCGUAAAGAGCUCGUAGGCGGUGUGUCACGUCGGCCGUGAAAACCUGCAGCUUAACUGUGGGCGUGCGGUCGAUACGGGCAUCACUGGAGUUCGGCAGGGGAGACUGGAAUUCCUGGUGUAGCGGUGAAAUGCGCAGAUAUCAAGAGGAACACCGGUGGCGAAGGCGGGUCUCUGGGCCGAUACUGACGCUGAGGAGCGAAAGCGUGGGGAGCGAACAGG
This 254-nucleotide ribosomal RNA is filed under the name uncultured bacterium. Its description in RNAcentral is "partial 16S ribosomal RNA". It matches the Rfam family "Bacterial small subunit ribosomal RNA", at positions 524 to 776 of the family's 1533-position model. The record is from RNAcentral.